This is a non-coding RNA of Camellia sinensis, 193 nucleotides long. The record is from RefSeq and is a predicted model, not a curated record. NCBI's taxonomy places the organism in Eukaryota, Viridiplantae, Streptophyta, Magnoliopsida, Ericales, Theaceae.
AUAAAUGCUUAUUCUUACUUGUACCCUGCAGAAUUGCCAUCUAGAAAGUUUGUCUUCAAAUGGCUCUUGGAAUUACUGGUCAAUGCACUACCUCUGCUCAUAGGCAAUGAAGAUAAACUGAUAUGGGAAGCAGAUCCUUCAGAUUGGAGAUUUGAUAUGGACAUGUUUGGUAAUUUGGAGAGCAGAAGCUAGC